This 277-nucleotide ribosomal RNA is filed under the name uncultured bacterium. Its description in RNAcentral is "partial 16S ribosomal RNA". It matches the Rfam family "Bacterial small subunit ribosomal RNA", at positions 82 to 354 of the family's 1533-position model. The record is from RNAcentral.
CCGUUGCCGGCGACCGGCGCACGGGUGAGUAACACGUAUGCAACCUGCCCGUGGCAGGGGGGAUAAGCGGGGGAAACCCCGUCUAAUACCGCGUAACGCGGCCUUGGGGCAUCCCAAGGCCGCCAAAGGGAGCAAUCCCGGCCACGGAUGGGCAUGCGGCGCAUUAGCUAGUCGGCGGGGUAACGGCCCACCGAGGCGACGAUGCGUAGGGGUUCUGAGAGGAAGGCCCCCCACACUGGUACUGGGACACGGACCAGACUCCUACGGAAGGCAGCAG